RNAcentral lists this non-coding RNA (21 nucleotides) under Caenorhabditis elegans. The record is from RNAcentral. Lineage: Eukaryota; Metazoa; Nematoda; Chromadorea; Rhabditida; Rhabditidae.
UUAUUUUAGAAGCCAAUUUAG